This 494-nucleotide ribosomal RNA is filed under the name uncultured bacterium. RNAcentral's name for it is "partial 16S ribosomal RNA". It matches the Rfam family "Bacterial small subunit ribosomal RNA", at positions 34 to 507 of the family's 1533-position model. The record is from RNAcentral.
UUCUCCCUCUUUCUUCGUGCUUAACACAUGCAAGUCGAACGGAAAGGCCUGCUUUCCCUUGUGGAUUGCGGGUACUCGAGUGGCGAACGGGUGAGUAACACGUGAGUGAUCUGCCCCCAACUUGGGUAUAAGCCUGGGAAACUGGGUCUAAUUCCCGAUAGGACUGCAGGGUGGUGCCUGUGGUGGCAAACGAUUUUCUAGUUGUUGGGGAUGAGCUGGCGGCCUAUCAGCUUGUUGGUGGGGUAAUGGCCUACCAAGGCGGGGACGGGUAGCCUGCCUGGGAGGGGGGACGGCGACAUUGGGACUGGGACACGGCCCAGACUGCAGCGAGAGGCAGCAGUGGGGAAGAAGGGAGAGUAGGCGGGAGCGUGAUACGGCGAGGCAGCGGAGAAGAUGUCGGCCUUGGAGUUGUAAGCUCCUUUCGAAGGAGAGGAAGCCACCUGGUUGGAAGGGUGGUGACGGUAGUGGUAGAAGAAGCACCGGCUAACUACGUG